CCUACGGGGUGCAGCAGUGAGGAAUAUUGGUCAAUGGACGAGAGUCUGAACCAGCCAAGUAGCGUGAAGGAUGACUGCCCUAUGGGUUGUAAACUUCUUUUAUAUGGGAAUAAAACGUUCCACGUGUGGGAUUUUGUAUGUACCAUAUGAAUAAGGAUCGGCUAACUCCGUGCCAGCAGCCGCGGUAAUACGGAGGAUCCGAGCGUUAUCCGGAUUUAUUGGGUUUAAAGGGAGCGUAGGUGGAUUGUUAAGUCAGUUGUGAAAGUUUGCGGCUCAACCGUAAAAUUGCAGUUGAAACUGGCAGUCUUGAGUACAGUAGAGGUGGGCGGAAUUCGUGGUGUAGCGGUGAAAUGCUUAGAUAUCACGAAGAACUCCGAUUGCGAAGGUAGUUCACUGGACUGCAACUGACACUGAGGCUCGAAAGUGUGGGUAUCAAACAGGAUUAGAUACCCGAGUAGUC
Molecule: ribosomal RNA, 460 nt
Filed under: uncultured bacterium
Lineage: Bacteria
Description: partial 16S ribosomal RNA
Rfam family: Bacterial small subunit ribosomal RNA
Source: RNAcentral